CAGCCGCCGCGGUAAUACCAGCUCUUCAAGUGGUCGGGAUAAUUAUUGGGCUUAAAGUGUCCGUAGCCGGUUUAGUAAGUUCCUGGUAAAAUCGGGUAGCUUAACUAUCUGCAUGCUAGGAAUACUGCUAUACUAGAGGGCGGGAGAGGUCUGAGGUACUACAGGGGUAGGGGUGAAAUCUUAUAAUCCUUGUAGGACCACCAGUGGCGAAGGCGUCAGACUGGAACGCGCCUGACGGUGAGGGACGAAAGCCAGGGGAGCGAACCGGAUUAGAUACCCGGGUAGUCCUGGCCGUAAACGAUGCAUACUAGGUGAUGGCACGGCCAUGAGCCAUGUCAGUGCCGUAGGGAAACCGUUAAGUGUGCCGCCUGGGAAGUACGGUCGCAAGGCUAAAACUUAAAGGAAUUGGCGGGGGAGCACCACAAGGGGUGAAGCCUGCGGUUUAAUUGGACUCAACGCCGGGAAACUUACCAGGGGAGACAGUAGUAUGCCGGUCAGGUUGACGACCUUACCUAACGAGCUGAGAGGAGGUGCAUGGCCGUCGCCAGUUCGUGCUGUGAGGUAUCCUGUUAAGUCAGGCAACGAACGAGAUCCGCACCUUUAUUUGCCAGCAAGAAGUCACGACUUCGUUGGGAACACUAAAGGGACCGCCGUCGAUAAGACGGAGGAAGGAGCGGGCAAAGGCAGGUCAGUAUGCCCCGAAACCCCUGGGCUACACGCGGGCUGCAAUGGUAUGAACAAUGGGCAGUAACUCCGAAAGGAGAAACCAAUCCCGAAAUCAUAUCUCAGUUGGAAUUGUCGGCUGUAACCCGCUGACAUGAACGUGGAAUCCCUAGUAAUCGUGUGUCAUCAUCGCACGGUGAAUACGUCCCUGCCCCUUGCACAC
Molecule: ribosomal RNA, 886 nt
Filed under: uncultured archaeon
Lineage: Archaea
Description: bacterial SSU rRNA
Rfam family: Archaeal small subunit ribosomal RNA
Source: RNAcentral